AACGCACCUUGCGCUCCUUGGUAUUCCGAGGAGCAUGCCUGUUUGAGUGUCAUUAAAUUCUCAACUCUUAUUAGCUUUAUGCUGAUAAAGGGCUUGGAUGUGGGGGGUAUUUUUUGCUGGCUUCAUUAGAUGGUCAGCUCCCCUAAAAUGCAUUAGCUGGUGCCCCACGUGGACUGUCUAUUGGUGUGAUAAUUAUCUACGCUGUGGACAUCUACACUUAUAUGGGUUUGCGCUGCUUCUAACUGUUUGUUCAUUCAGACAAUACAUGACCAUUUGACCUCAAAUCAGGUAGGACUACCCGCUGAACUUAA
This 311-nucleotide ribosomal RNA is filed under the name uncultured Anamika. RNAcentral's name for it is "eukaryotic LSU rRNA". The stretch from base 1 to 52 matches the Rfam family "5.8S ribosomal RNA", at positions 103 to 154 of the family's 154-position model. Lineage: Eukaryota; Fungi; Basidiomycota; Agaricomycetes; Agaricales; Cortinariaceae. The record is from RNAcentral.